GGAGAUUUAGCUCAGUGGCAUAAGCACCUGCCUUGUAAGCAGGCAGUCGUGGGUUCAAUCUCCG
This 64-nucleotide transfer RNA is filed under the name Cavia porcellus (domestic guinea pig). It matches the Rfam family "tRNA". From Rfam's summary of the family: Transfer RNA (tRNA) molecules are approximately 80 nucleotides in length. Their secondary structure includes four short double-helical elements and three loops (D, anti-codon, and T loops). Further hydrogen bonds mediate the characteristic L-shaped molecular structure. tRNAs have two regions of fundamental functional importance: the anti-codon, which is responsible for specific mRNA codon recognition, and the 3' end, to which the tRNAs corresponding amino acid is attached (by aminoacyl-tRNA synthetases). tRNAs cope with the degeneracy of the genetic code in two manners: having more than one tRNA (with a specific anti-codon) for a particular amino acid; and 'wobble' base-pairing, i.e. permitting non-standard base-pairing at the 3rd anti-codon position. The record is from Rfam by way of RNAcentral. Lineage: Eukaryota; Metazoa; Chordata; Mammalia; Rodentia; Caviidae.